AGAAAUUCUGCUUAGGGUCUCCUCAGUGAUGGAGCUGCCAUUGAGUCAAGCUCAGUUCUGCACAUUCCUGAUGCUUGCAGUUUCAAACAUGCUGCUGUGGGAGAAAGUUUCAUCCAUUCCUGCAUGUCUUGCGGAAGAGGGUGGCUGCUGGAACCCCAUUGUGGAAACAUUUAACAGUGCCAUGCAGCGAGGUGAAACCCUCCGUAAUCUUGCUGACCAAUUAUAUACAGAGCUUUAUCACAAUCAAUUCUCAUCUGAACAAUUUUUGGCUCUUAACUCAAAACUGAUUAGGAGGGAUAAGACUGCUGUCAGAGCUGGAACAUACUGCCAUUCGACUCUCUCAAACUCCCCAGAUGGGGAAACUAAGCAUGCAGAUGUUGAAACCGAAAAAUAUUUAAAAAUGUUGAUCAAUUUUGUGGGUGCCUGGAUCAGCCCUCUAUACCAU
Molecule: long non-coding RNA, 445 nt
Filed under: Rattus norvegicus (Norway rat)
Lineage: Eukaryota; Metazoa; Chordata; Mammalia; Rodentia; Muridae
Description: long non-coding RNA NONRATT012459
Source: RNAcentral